Amphiprion ocellaris (clown anemonefish) is the source of this 2257-nucleotide long non-coding RNA. The record is from Ensembl. NCBI's taxonomy places the organism in Eukaryota, Metazoa, Chordata, Actinopteri, Pomacentridae.
CUAGCUGCUAAAUGGACCAGGUAGCUGAAGAUUUUAUUGGGUUUAUCUGAGUUUUUCUUUGUUUUAUUUAAAAAAAAAAAAAAAACUUCCUCCUGUGGCUAAAAUCAGUCAGUCUGAUUAGAGCAGAAAAAUUUAAUCCAAUCAGUGAAUUUAUGAUCUGUAAAACCCCAAAAAUCAAGUUAAAAGACACUAAAACCUUCCGUAGAGCUAAUUCUAUUGAUUAAUUUGAUUGGUUUUUGAUAUUUAAACAUCAAUCAGAGCAGCUUUAAAUUUAUUUUAAAAAUCUGUUUACUAAAUAUGUACUAGACAGAACAUUUUGCAGGUUAAUAAAACCCGUCAGCGUCUCUAGGGAUGUUUUUUUUUUUUUUUUUUUAUAAAUUACCUCAAACAUCUACAAACUUUUCUGCAUUAAAACGCUAAUAUCAGCAAAAAAAAAAACCCGACAUGCAGAUACAGAUUCAUGUCUGCAACAGUUUUAAACACUUUAUAUGAUUCAGAAAAACGUUUAUUUAUAGUAUGCAUUCGCAAAAAAAGCUAAAAUUUACCACUGAGUUUUUAUAUACUGUUAAAGUACCGGACUGUUUUCAGUCUGGGAUCAUGUGAGGAAACUUAAUACGCUUUAAAAAAAUGAAAUCCACAGACCUGGUUCCUUCAAAAAUGGGAACUGCUGCUGUUUGGUUGCACAAAAUAUUGUUUUUAUUCAUUUAUUAUUGUCUUUUCUGCACUUUUUAUGAAUUUAGUUGAUAAUUUCUUUAAAUUUUUUGCAUUUAUUUCCAAAAACAAACUCGUUUCACAACAUUUUUUCUUAUAUGUGGCUAAAAAAAUCCAGAGUUCUGUCCAUCUAUAUUCAUAUUUUGUAUGUUUCCAUCCAUAAUAUCAGUCAUAACAUCCUCUUUCCUGUGCUAAAGAGCAAAAACUCUUCUUAAACACAAACUUCAUGUCACUUAAACUGACCAAUCCACUUUCUUCUUAAACAAACUCAUUAAUAAUCACUACCAGCUCUAAUAACUUGUUUAUUUCAACAUGCUGCUAAAUUUAGCUGUUGUUGUCUUUAAAGAAAUGGCUAAAACUUCAUUUGUACAACUUUAUACUUCAAACUUCAUGUGUACUACUGCAUUUUACUGUUCAUGAAGGUUCAUCUGACUCUGUUCUCCUUGUUUAAAUAUCAGCACCGUCCUCAGUAGGAUCAGUAAAGGGUCAUAGCAGAGAAACAAGGGAAGCAGUAAAAAAAAUGUCGCUAGUGGCUCUAAGUUGUUCAGCUCGUUAUUAUAGAAAAUAAAAAUGAGAAAAUUGACUGUUCUCAACGUUGUGUUCAGUCUGUGUUUUAGAGUCCUCUGUAGGUGUUAACGAGGCAUCAGCAGCUCCAGUUGUUAGCCAACUCCAGCUGUUAACUAGCCCCAGCUGUUAGCCGGCUCCAAGUGUUAGCCGGUUCCAGGUAUUAGCCGGCUACAGGUGUUAGCCGGCUCUGUUUUGUUAGCCAGCUACAGCUGUUAGCCAGCUCCAGCUGUUAGCCGGCUGCAGGUGUUUGCCUGCUCCAGGUGUUAGCCAGCUCCAGGUGUUAGCCAGCUCCAGCUGUUAGCCGGCUGCAGAUGUUUGCCUGCUCCAGGUGUCAGUUGACUCCAGGUGCUAGACAGCUGCAGAUGUUAGCCGGCGCCACGUGUUAGUCGGUCCCAGAUUUUAGCCAGCUACAGAUGUUAGAUGAGCCCCAGGUGUUAGCCGGCUCCAGGUGUUAGCCAGCUCCAAGCGAUAGCCAGCUCCAAGCGUUAGCCAGCACCCAGUUUUAGCCGGCUUCAGGUGAUAACCAGCUCCAAGUCUUAGUUGGUUCCAGAUGUUAUCCAGCUCUAGAUAUUUGCUAGCUACAGAUGUUAGCUGACUCCCGGUGUCAGUUAACACCGAGUGUUAGCCAGCUCCAGAUGUUAGCCUGUUCCAGGUGUUAGCCUGCUCCAGGUGUUAGCUGACUCCAGAUGUUAGCCUGCUCCAGAUGUUAGCCAGCUCCAGGUGUUAGCUGACUCCAGAUGUUAGCCUGCUCCAGAUGUUAGCCAGCUCCAGGUGUUAGCUGACUCCAGAUGUUAGCCUGCUCCUGGUGUUAGCCUGCUCCAGAUGUUAGCCUGCUCCAGGUGUUAGCCUGCUCCAAGUGUUAGCUGACUCCAGGUGUUUCUGAAGGUCUCUGGUUGGUCGACAGCAUUAGCAAGCUGUCGUCUUCAGACUAGCGCCGUCUGAGAUCGUCUCAUCUCCUUCCUCAGUUCGUCGUGACUGA